Molecule: ribosomal RNA, 241 nt
Filed under: uncultured Glomus
Lineage: Eukaryota; Fungi; Glomeromycota; Glomeromycetes; Glomerales; Glomeraceae
Description: partial 23S ribosomal RNA
Rfam family: Eukaryotic large subunit ribosomal RNA
Source: RNAcentral
GGCGAGAGACCGAUAGCGAACAAGUACCGUGAGGGAAAGAUGAAAAGAACUUUGAAAAGAGAGUUAAACAGUACGUGAAAUUGUUGAAAGGGAAACGAUUAAAGUCAGUCGUACUGACGGGGAAUCAACCUUUAGAGUGCGGAUUCGUGGGAUUCAAAAAACCUUUGGUCUUGCCAGAUUCGCGCUUUGUUGGUGCACUUUCUCCCGUUGCAGGAUGGCAUCGGCUUUGACCGUUGUAAAA